UUUUUUUUUUUUUUCUUAUAAAAGAAAUUUUCUUCCAUCUUUUGAAUUUUCUGGACACGGCCCCAAAAUGUGUCAUGGCUAUGUCCUGCUGUUUACAUCUCAGAAACGUUUCCGAUACGGGGAAUCUGGCGUUUCCCUGCUUCACUGGUUAUGGAGAAUGCAUUUCUUAAAGAUAUAUUUAUUUUUUAAAGACUUUUGAUAAUGGAAUUAUAAGCAUCUUGAUAUCCACUUUAAGACAUGUAUGCCCAGUGAAUGUUUCUUUUGAAUGCUUAUUUCUUCUCAUUUCUUGCCUAAACAUCUGUAAUGGAUGCUGCUCAAUGAUCAUUUAUUACGGUUGAUAUUUGUUGGAAGGCUUCAGUUGAGUGGUGUUAGGAUGUACAUGUAAACGCCAUUGUAAGUUGUAACCAAAUUCUGUUUUUAACGAUAUGAAAGGAAAGAUUUUGUUUAAUUUUGUUGAGUGCUGGUAUUAGAAUAUUUAACUUGUUGACAUCGACUUCCUUCUAUGCUUUGCUUGGUUAAGCAUGGUUCGAUUGAUUUUGGUUUUGAUUUUUCUCCUUGUCUAUUACUUGCAAUCACAUCUUGCUUGAAAGUAAUUUUUGCGUUAAUGGUUUUUGGACCUUCAUGUAGUUUUCUAAGGCGGCAGGACGAAU
This 650-nucleotide unclassified non-coding RNA is filed under the name Hevea brasiliensis (rubber tree). Lineage: Eukaryota; Viridiplantae; Streptophyta; Magnoliopsida; Malpighiales; Euphorbiaceae. The record is from RNAcentral.